This 99-nucleotide ribosomal RNA is filed under the name Vibrio alginolyticus. RNAcentral describes it as "partial 16S ribosomal RNA". It matches the Rfam family "Bacterial small subunit ribosomal RNA", at positions 1435 to 1533 of the family's 1533-position model. The record is from RNAcentral. Lineage: Bacteria; Pseudomonadati; Pseudomonadota; Gammaproteobacteria; Vibrionales; Vibrionaceae. RNAcentral also lists the same sequence under 2 other names.
UUAACCUUCGGGGGGACGCUUACCACUUUGUGGUUCAUGACUGGGGUGAAGUCGUAACAAGGUAGCGCUAGGGGAACCUGGCGCUGGAUCACCUCCUUA